ACGGGUGCGUAACACGUAUGUAACCUACCCAUAUCAGGGGGAUAGCCUCUCGAAAGAGAGAUUAAGCCCGCAUAAAAUCAGAUUAUGGCAUCAUAGACUGAUCAAAUAUUUAUAGGAUAUGGAUGGGCAUGCGGAACAUUAGCUAGUUGGUAAGGUAACGGCUUACCAAGGCUACGAUGUUUAGGGGAUCUGAGAGGAUGACCCCCCACACUGGUACUGAGACACGGACCAGACUCCUACGGGAGGCAGCAGUAAGGAAUAUUGGUCAAUGGACGGAAGUCUGAACCAGCCAUGCCGCGUGCAGGAAGACGGCCCUACGGGUUGUAAACUGCUUUUGUACCGGAAUAAACCUCGAUUCGUGAAUCGAGCUGAAUGUACGGUAAGAAUAAGGAUCGGCUAACUCCGUGCCAGCAGCCGCGGUAAUACGGAGGAUCCGAGCGUUAUCCGGAUUUAUUGGGUUUAAAGGGUGCGUAGGCGGCCUAUUAAGUCAGGGGUGAAAGACGGUAGCUUAACUAUCGCAGUGCCUUUGAUACUGAUAGGCUUGAAUGUACUUGAGGUAGGCGGAAUGUGACAAGUAGCGGUGAAA
Molecule: ribosomal RNA, 586 nt
Filed under: uncultured bacterium
Lineage: Bacteria
Description: bacterial SSU rRNA
Rfam family: Bacterial small subunit ribosomal RNA
Source: RNAcentral